UACGUAGGGGGCAAGCGUUGUCCGGAAUUACUGGGCGUAAAGGGCGCGUAGGCGGCAUAUUAAGUUAGAUGUGAAAUCCCCGGGCUUAACCUGGGUGGUGCAUUUAAAACUAAUAAGCUUGAGUGCAGGAGAGGAAAGCGGAAUUCCUAGUGUAGCGGUGAAAUGCGUAGAUAUUAGGAGGAACAUCGGUGGCGAAGGCGGCUUUCUGGACUGUAACUGACGCUGAGGCGCGAAAGCGUGGGGAGCAAACAGG
RNAcentral lists this ribosomal RNA (253 nucleotides) under uncultured bacterium. RNAcentral describes it as "partial 16S ribosomal RNA". It matches the Rfam family "Bacterial small subunit ribosomal RNA", at positions 524 to 776 of the family's 1533-position model. The record is from RNAcentral.